CUACCUCAUACAGGGGGAUAACAGUUGGAAACGACCGCUAAUACCGCAUAACCCGCUAGUAUCGCAUGAUACGGACGGAAAAGAUUUAUCGGUAUGAGAUGGACCCGCGUCUGAUUAGCCAGUUGGCAGGGUAACGGCCUACCAAAGCAACGAUCAGUAGCCGGCCUGAGAGGGUGAACGGCCACAUUGGGACUGAGACACGGCCCAAACUCCUACGGGAGGCAGCAGUGGGGAAUAUUGCACAAUGGGGGAAACCCUGAUGCAGCGACGCCGCGUGAGUGAGGAAGUAUUUCGGUAUGUAAAGCUCUAUCAGCAGGGAAGAAAAUGACGGUACCUGACUAAGAAGCCCCGGUUAACUACGUGCCAGCAGCCGCGGUAAUACGUAGGGGGCAAGCGUUAUCCGGAUUUACUGGGUGUAAAGGGAGCGUAGACGGUUAAUCAAGUCAGAAGUGAAAACCCAGGGCUCAACCUUGGGACUGCUUUUGAAACUGAGUAGCUAGAGUGCAGGAGAGGUAAGCGGAAUUCCUAGUGUAGCGGUGAAAUGCGUAGAUAUUAGGAGGAACACCAGUGGCGAAGGCGGCUUACUGGACUGUAACUGACGUUGAGGCUCGAAAGCGUGGGGAGCAAACAGGAUUAGAUACCCUGGUAGUCCACGCCGUAAAC
Molecule: ribosomal RNA, 663 nt
Filed under: uncultured bacterium
Lineage: Bacteria
Description: bacterial SSU rRNA
Rfam family: Bacterial small subunit ribosomal RNA
Source: RNAcentral